This is a non-coding RNA of Acanthosepion pharaonis, 113 nucleotides long. The record is from the annotation of a GenBank genome assembly. NCBI's taxonomy places the organism in Eukaryota, Metazoa, Mollusca, Cephalopoda, Sepiida, Sepiidae.
UUACGGCCAUAUCACGCCAAAACACCAAUUCUCGUACGGUCGUCGAAGUUAAACAGCGUAGAGCCUGUUCAGUGCCUAGAUGGGUGACCGCUUGGGAACACCAGGUGCUAUAA